Long non-coding RNA from Malania oleifera, 485 nucleotides. RefSeq lists it as uncharacterized. The transcript has 4 exons. The record is from RefSeq and is a predicted model, not a curated record. NCBI's taxonomy places the organism in Eukaryota, Viridiplantae, Streptophyta, Magnoliopsida, Santalales, Ximeniaceae.
AUUCUCCCAAAAAUCCCAGUUUCAAUUUCCCUUAUCCUCAUCUGCUCCGUUCUGAAAUUCUCUUGCUGCUAUUUUUUUUUUUUCAUUUGUAGGAAAAAAGAGGUGCUCGGGUGCUGCAGCAGAAACGAGCGACAAGUAGGACGCUCAUCCUGACCCUGCUCAAGAAAAGACCAAUCACAAGAACGCUCAUCCUAUCCCUGCUCAAGGGUGCUAUCAAGGACUCCCGGUACAGGCGCCUCCACAGCAUAGCAAUGCUGCUCGGCGGACUGAGAGUCGCACUGGUUUCCUCAAGGGAUUGUAAUAAUUCUUCUCCAAUUCUUUUAAAUAGGUCUAAAAAUUGAUCACCCUUUUUGUGUGCAAUGUACGCGUCUUACUGAUUUCGGGAGACAUCCUUCAUUAGGAGGGAAGCAGGAAAGGGAAUAAAAGAAAAAAUCCAAAACCAAAGAUACCCUUUAUUUGGUUUCUAUGUAUGUUUUGGUUACUUC